Molecule: long non-coding RNA, 621 nt
Organism: Xiphophorus hellerii (green swordtail)
Lineage: Eukaryota; Metazoa; Chordata; Actinopteri; Cyprinodontiformes; Poeciliidae
Exons: 4
Source: RefSeq, a predicted model, not a curated record
GGAGCAGCCAGACAUACCUGAGAAAGCUACCUGAGAAAAGCGCUAUAUUCCAGAAUAUUCUGAAGAAAACGCUUCAUCAUGGCACGACUGACCAUCCUGGCUGGAUUGGCACUUCUGAUGUGUCUUCUGACUGUGACUACUUCCAGCGAUACCCCAAACCAGCCUGGCGUUCGUGCAACCACAGCAUCUCCUGGCAUGAAAACUCCCAAACAAACCAGAUCUCCUGUUUUUGGGCGUAAUUUCUGUGUAGGCAAGCGUGAUGGUAAUUACGUCAAUGAAUAUGAUAGACACACCUUCUAUCAGUGUGUCGCCGGAAUCACGUACAUACAGAGAUGUCCUGCUAAUUUGAUUUACAAUUACGGAUGCGACUGUUGCGUAUAUAAUAGAUGAUUCAGUCAAGCUUUUGCGGAUUUAAAUGCUGGAUGGACAGCAUCAAUGUAAUGUCCUCUCUCGCUCUACAACUGUGUUCUUGCUGAAAAAGUUUAACACCUUUAUUUAAAAACUCAAAAGGAGAUUUGUUUUUUCAUAUCUGCCAAGAUGUUUCAAGUGUACUGAAGUAAUUUGUAAUGUGUGGAGACAUGUAUACCUUUUAAUAAAUUUUCCUGUUUUUGCUUCCUCAAA